RNAcentral lists this ribosomal RNA (473 nucleotides) under uncultured Marivita sp. RNAcentral's name for it is "bacterial SSU rRNA". It matches the Rfam family "Bacterial small subunit ribosomal RNA", at positions 427 to 918 of the family's 1533-position model. Lineage: Bacteria; Pseudomonadati; Pseudomonadota; Alphaproteobacteria; Rhodobacterales; Roseobacteraceae. The record is from RNAcentral.
AAAGCUCUUUCGCCUGUGAAGAUAAUGACUGUAGCAGGUAAAGAAACCCCGGCUAACUCCGUGCCAGCAGCCGCGGUAAUACGGAGGGGGUUAGCGUUGUUCGGAAUUACUGGGCGUAAAGCGCGCGUAGGCGGACAUUUAAGUCAGAGGUGAAAUCCCAGGGCUCAACCCUGGAACUGCCUUUGAUACUGGGUGUCUUGAGUUCGAGAGAGGUGAGUGGAAUUCCGAGUGUAGAGGUGAAAUUCGUAGAUAUUCGGAGGAACACCAGUGGCGAAGGCGGCUCACUGGCUCGAUACUGACGCUGAGGUGCGAAAGUGUGGGGAGCAAACAGGAUUAGAUACCCUGGUAGUCCACACCGUAAACGAUGAAUGCCAGUCGUCGGGUAGUAUACUGUUCGGUGACACACCUAACGGAUUAAGCAUUCCGCCUGGGGAGUACGGUCGCAAGAUUAAAACUCAGAGGAAUUGACGGCC